Molecule: ribosomal RNA, 292 nt
Filed under: uncultured bacterium
Lineage: Bacteria
Description: partial 16S ribosomal RNA
Source: RNAcentral
GGACUACUGGGGUAUCUAAUCCCGUUCGCUCCCCUAGCUUUCGCACCUGAGCGUCAGUGACUCGCCAGGACGCUGCCUUCGCCUUUGGUGUUCUUCCAGAUCUCUACGCAUUUCACCGCUCCACCUGGAAUUCCGCGUCCCUCUCAAGCCCUCAAGUGCAGCAGUUUCCCAAGGCCUGUGGUAGUUAAGCCACCACCUGUCACUUGUGACUUGCCGCACCGCCUGCGUGCGCUUUACGCCCAAUAAAUCCGGACAACGCUUGCCCCCUACGUAUUACCGCGGCUGCUGGCAC